UACGGGGGGAGCAAGCGUUGUUCGGAUUUACUGGGCGUAAAGGGCGCGUAGGCGGCGCAACAAGUCACUUGUGAAAUCUCCGGGCUUAACCCGGAGCGGCCAAGUGAUACUGUCGUGCUAGAGUGCGGAAGGGGCUACUGGAAUUCUCGGUGUAGCGGUGAAAUGCGUAGAUAUCGAGAGGAACACCUGCGGCGAAGGCGGGUAGCUGGGCCGACACUGACGCUGAGGCGCGAAAGCGUGGGUAGCAAACAGG
RNAcentral lists this ribosomal RNA (253 nucleotides) under uncultured bacterium. RNAcentral describes it as "partial 16S ribosomal RNA". It matches the Rfam family "Bacterial small subunit ribosomal RNA", at positions 524 to 776 of the family's 1533-position model. The record is from RNAcentral.